UAGAAGAAACUUGGAGAAGGCAGUUUGUUCUAGACGGGAGAACAGGGAAACUGUCCCAGCUCCUGAGAGCUUCACCCAAGGAGAUCACACGGUUGGGGGGUCCUUCUCCCCUUCCCUGUGCACAACCCUCCCCCACCCCUGGCUGUGAAAGCCAGAAGCCAAAGCCCUGGCAGGUAGUCCAGCCCCCGAGGAAGAGGGAUAAAGGGCGGGAAAAAGGGUGCCAAGCACCGCAGAGAUGGGAGCGGAGGCGACGCCAGGAGGAAAAUGGAUUGCACAGACUCUGACAGGGUGCGAGGGGAGCGGGUGGUGUGGUCUUUAUCAAGAACGAGCCUCGCCAGGCGGCAGCAGCCCCAGCGGGCGGGGGGCCCAGAACAUGAGAACACACUUGGACUUCAGCAGACCAGCUCGGCCUCGAGGAGAAGCAGCCGUUUGGCAGAAGCCGCAGAAGCUCCUCCUUCUUGUGGUAGUCCUUGGCACGGGCAUCCGAGAAGACGUAGAUGAAGGAGCCGGGGUUGGCCACCUCCACGGCAGCCCUGAUGGCCCCCACGCUCAUCUCGGGACAGUCACCGCCCCCCUGCAGGAUGGGGUUGCCCUGGAAUGAAUCCCAAAGCAGCACACACUCCCAGCCUCCUCGACCACGGACAGGACCUCUACUCCGUGGGCAGCUUUGCCCACCUGGGGCCAGCAACAGGGAGGGCCAACCACGCAUCUGUCUACCUGCCAACGCUGGAGAAGCCGGCCUGCGCCCAGUUCUGCUCACGUGGAGAGCGGACACCGACUGCUGCAGCCCGGGGGGCCCAGCUCUGACUCCGGCUGGCCCCCGCCCUCCCCCACCAUGGCCUGUGACAUCAGCCACCCCUCGGUUCCCGGUGCUGGACCAGGGCUCGGCUGACCACAUGCUCUCCCGUUUGUGGCAACGUCAGAACAAUAAAGUUGGUGACCUGAGUUAUCACAAAUAAAGCGGCAGUUGGAAGGGUGGCCUUUGCUGCUACGACCUAUGGUCUUCCUCUCUGGGGGAUUCAGGGUGGCUCUCAUUCGUGGAGGGACAAGAAUUGUUCGGAGGAGUUGAUUCUGUUCACGGUUCUACCUGGUAAGAUAAAAAG
This is a long non-coding RNA of Canis lupus familiaris (dog), 1103 nucleotides long. RefSeq lists it as uncharacterized. NCBI's taxonomy places the organism in Eukaryota, Metazoa, Chordata, Mammalia, Carnivora, Canidae. The record is from RefSeq and is a predicted model, not a curated record. The transcript has 4 exons.